This 419-nucleotide ribosomal RNA is filed under the name uncultured bacterium. RNAcentral's name for it is "bacterial SSU rRNA". It matches the Rfam family "Bacterial small subunit ribosomal RNA", at positions 8 to 429 of the family's 1533-position model. The record is from RNAcentral.
AGAGUUUGAUCCUGGCUCAGAUUGAACGCUGGCGGCAUGCUUUACACAUGCAAGUCGAACGGCAGCGGGGGCUUCGGCCUGCCGGCGAGUGGCGAACGGGUGAGUAAUGCAUCGGAACGUGCCCAGUCAUGGGGGAUAACUACGCGAAAGCGUAGCUAAUACCGCAUACGCCCUGAGGGGGAAAGCGGGGGAUCGCAAGACCUCGCGUGAUUGGAGCGGCCGAUGUCGGAUUAGCUAGUUGGUGGGGUAAAGGCCUACCAAGGCGACGAUCCGUAGCGGGUCUGAGAGGAUGAUCCGCCACACUGGGACUGAGACACGGCCCAGACUCCUACGGGAGGCAGCAGUGGGGAAUUUUGGACAAUGGGGGCAACCCUGAUCCAGCCAUGCCGCGUGAGUGAAGAAGGCCUUCGGGUUGUAAA